CAAGUGCAUAAUUAAUGAUGCAGGUCGAAUAGAGUCGAUUCGUUUAAACUCAUUUUAUUUAGUAUUUUUUCAAGUAUUUUUACUGAGGUUUUCAUGAGACUGUCAAUAGUACUAUUGUUUCCUACCCUAUAGUUAUUAGGUUAUUUAUAUACCUCUCUGCUGUCUUCUUUUGCCCAAUUAUGAAGACCUCAAAUAACAACCCUUCUAGCUUCCUUUCAAGCUUCUAAGUUCUAUCUACUGACUGGUAUAUCCAUCUAAGCAACUUCACUUAGAGCCUUCCAUGGUUCUUGCCAAGUUCCACAAAUUUUUUUCCCUUAGAGCCUUCUCUAAGCAACUUCACUUGAAUAACACACCAAUGCCCCUUAGGUCUGCAGUAAAAUUGUCAGUAUAUAAUUUUAUUAUUAGGUAGGCUAAUACUAAAUCACCAAUAACAGUUGUAAUUAUAUCCUAAGAACUAAUACUAAACUAACAUGAUGCAUCUCUCAAACAUAGACCUCAGAACUGAAGUAUUGGGAUCCUCAAGAAAGCCCCUUCUUUAACUUCAUAUUUCAACUUCUGAUAAAUAAACAACCAGCUGCUUCUUGUUAUGCAAUAUCAAUCCGAAUGAUCGAGAAUUGAAAGAGAUCCAGAACAAGGAAACUCUCACUUAUUCGAGGCAGUCAUAGUAUCUUAGAUCGUGAUGAACUGAUGAUAAUAUUCACCAAAAAAUUGAGAUUGUUUACAAUUCGUACACAUUGUUGAAUAUGUUCUCAGAAGUGUGCGUGUUUCAUCUAACUACUCCAGUAAAAGAAAUACUUUCAAAUCCGCAAAAAUAAUCUUUUGUUGAAUAAUCGAAUCAGAAACAAAAAUUAAUAAAUAAAUAAGAAACUCACUGUUGUUCUUGGCAGCGAAAAUGGCAGAGCAAUCGGAGCAUUCUUCAACCAAUGCUGAAACCGGAGAGAAUACAGAAAGGCAAGCUUAUUGCAAGUUGGGACCGUUGGGCCGCUAGAAAAAGUUGGGCUGCCAUUUGUAAUUUAGGCAAGCUUUCUUGUACCCAUAACCCAGGAACCCAAAUCAUCAUUAUAUGCCCUCAAGCCCAACUGUUGACCCAAUAAAUCUUUGGGCCAAAAUCAAGAAGCCGGGUGCGCCAGAUUCAAGUCAUUCAACGCUAAUACAUCACCCCCGUGCCGUCUCCGCCACAAGGAGUCACCACAACACAAUCUCCACAGCCGCCACAACCGUCACUAUUAAGAGCCAGCCUCACCACAGUAAUUAUCUUCUUUUAAUGUAGCAAACACAUCAAGCCCGGAUAGAGAAAACAGGGUUUGUCAUCAUCAUCAGAGGAAAUGAAGUAUAUCACUUCGUUCUUCUAAGUUCGGAUUUUGUCGAAGGCUGAGAGUCUUGAGAUAUAUUAUAUUUUAUUAUACACUCAUUUUACCACUAAUUAAACAAAUUAAAGAGUAAUUAUUCUCUAUACUUGGAACACCACAUUGACAACAAAAUUACUGUAUUUGUUUUACACAUUUAUAUAUAAUUUAACUAAGUUACUACAACGAUAAUAAGUUGUUCAGAAAUUUGUAAAUUGUCUUAAGUUAAAUAAUUACCUCUAAUAGAACAAAAAUUACUCAAGUAAUGACUAUAUUUACCAAAACAACAUCAACAAAUUAAUUGUCAUAUUGAUAAAUGUAGAUAUCACAAAC
RNAcentral lists this long non-coding RNA (1679 nucleotides) under Fragaria vesca (wild strawberry). RNAcentral's name for it is "long non-coding RNA (FVES_LNC002326)". Lineage: Eukaryota; Viridiplantae; Streptophyta; Magnoliopsida; Rosales; Rosaceae. The record is from RNAcentral.